AUAAGCAGAGAGACAUUGGACACAUAAAACAGGGUAAAGUGUGGAUUUACAUGAAACUCUAAUGAAUUUUAUGGCAUCAGGAUUUGAGUGCAUAGCAGCAGAAUUAGCCAUAGUAUAAGCAAGAAAACAUUGGAAAGUAAAGAAUGGUAUCAGCAAGUGAAUACUAAGUGAGUGCAUAGCAGUAGAAUUAGCCAUAGUAUAAGCAAGAAAACAUUGGAAAGUAAAGAAUAGUAUCAGCAAGUGAAUACUAAGGUUGCCCAUGUUUUUUUUUUCUGAUUUUUCUUUGAACUUGAAAUGACUUUACUUUCA
Molecule: long non-coding RNA, 309 nt
Filed under: Nicotiana benthamiana
Lineage: Eukaryota; Viridiplantae; Streptophyta; Magnoliopsida; Solanales; Solanaceae
Description: long non-coding RNA (NBEN_LNC006349)
Source: RNAcentral